RNAcentral lists this ribosomal RNA (492 nucleotides) under uncultured bacterium. Its description in RNAcentral is "partial 16S ribosomal RNA". It matches the Rfam family "Bacterial small subunit ribosomal RNA", at positions 29 to 507 of the family's 1533-position model. The record is from RNAcentral.
AGUGGACGCUGGCGGUAGGCCUAACACAUGCAAGUCGAACGGCAGCACAGUAAGAGCUUGCUCUUACGGGUGGCGAGUGGCGGACGGGUGAGGAAUACAUCGGAAUCUACUUUUUCGUGGGGGAUAACGUAGGGAAACUUACGCUAAUACCGCAUACGACCUACGGGUGAAAGCAGGGGAUCUUCGGACCUUGCGCGAUUGAAUGAGCCGAUGUCGGAUUAGCUAGUUGGCGGGGUAAAGGCCCACCAAGGCGACGAUCCGUAGCAGGUCUGAGAGGAUGAUCAGCCACACUGGAACUGAGACACGGUCCAGACUCCUACGGGAGGCAGCAGUGGGGAAUAUUGGACAAUGGGCGCAAGCCUGAUCCAGCCAUACCGCGUGGGUGAAGAAGGCCUUCGGGUUGUAAAGCCCUUUUGUUGGGAAAGAAAAGCAGCAGGUUAAUACCCCGCUGUUCUGACGGUACCCAAAGAAUAAGCACCGGCUAACUUCGUG